GGAUGAAGAACGCAGCGAAACGCGAUAAGUAAUGUGAAUUGCAGAAUUCAGUGAAUCAUCGAAUCUUUGAACGCACAUUGCGCCCGCCAGUAUUCUGGCGGGCAUGCCUGUUCGAGCGUCAUUACAACCCUCAGGCCCCCGGGCCUGGCGUUGGGGAUCGGCGGAGCCCCCCGUGGGCACACGCCGUCCCCCAAAUACAGUGGCGGUCCCGCCGCAGCUUCCAUCGCGUAGUAGCUAACACCUCGCGACUGGAGAGCGGCGCGGCCACGCCGUAAAACACCCAACUCUUCUGAAGUUGACCUCGAAUCAGGUAGGAAUACCCGCUGAACUUAAGCAUAUCAAUAAGCGGAGGA
RNAcentral lists this unclassified non-coding RNA (353 nucleotides) under soil metagenome. Its description in RNAcentral is "partial contains 5.8S ribosomal RNA, internal transcribed spacer 2, and large subunit ribosomal RNA". The stretch from base 2 to 121 matches the Rfam family "5.8S ribosomal RNA", at positions 35 to 154 of the family's 154-position model. The record is from RNAcentral.